Molecule: unclassified non-coding RNA, 357 nt
Filed under: Hevea brasiliensis (rubber tree)
Lineage: Eukaryota; Viridiplantae; Streptophyta; Magnoliopsida; Malpighiales; Euphorbiaceae
Source: RNAcentral
AAUAUUCGAGCCAAAAGGAUAUAACUUCUAACGCUAGAUUCAGCCUCCAGAUUCAAAAGCUGUUUUGCAUAAUAAAGUGCAACAUCCAACUUCCUCUGCUCAGCAUUUUCUAGACUAAGCUGAAAAAUGAUAUGCGGAUCUCUUUCUCUCAUUAUUCUCCCAGCAGUUUCGAGUGCCUCAAGUGCUUCAGACUGCUUAGAAGUCCGCUCAGAAUCAGAAGGAGCUGAUCUGGACUGAAUUGACAAUAAAAGACCCAGUAAGCAGUUCGCAACACUUGCCAUCUGGCCACAUAUACCAUGCAAUUCAGAAAGUGCUUUGGAAGUGUAUGUCAUCCCUUCUUCAACACUAAUCAUAUUC